This 406-nucleotide ribosomal RNA is filed under the name uncultured bacterium. Its description in RNAcentral is "partial 16S ribosomal RNA". It matches the Rfam family "Bacterial small subunit ribosomal RNA", at positions 30 to 526 of the family's 1533-position model. The record is from RNAcentral.
AUUGAACGCUGGCGGCAGGCCUAACACAUGCAAGUCGAACGAGUGGCGGACGGGUGAGUAAUGUCUUGGAAACUGCCUGAUGGAGCGGGAUAACUACUGGAAACGGUAGCUAAUACCGCAUACCAUCGGAUGUGCCCAGAUUGGAUUAGCUAGUAGGUGGGGUAAAGGCUCACCUAGGCGACGAUCCCUAGCUGGUCUGAGAGGAUGACCAGCCACACUGGAACUGAGACACGGUCCAGACGCCUACGGGAGGCAGCAGUGGGGAAUAUUGCACAAUGGGCGCAAGCCUGAUGGAGCCAUGCCGCGUGUGUGAAGAAGGCCUUCGGGUUGUAAAGUACUUUCAGCGGGGAGGCGGUACCCGCAGAAGAAGCAACGGCUAACUCCGUGCCAGCAGCCGCGGUAAUUC